UCUGUGCGUGGUUUUCAAUAU
Molecule: non-coding RNA, 21 nt
Organism: Caenorhabditis elegans
Lineage: Eukaryota; Metazoa; Nematoda; Chromadorea; Rhabditida; Rhabditidae
Source: Ensembl